This is a long non-coding RNA of Lontra canadensis (Northern American river otter), 238 nucleotides long. RefSeq lists it as uncharacterized. NCBI's taxonomy places the organism in Eukaryota, Metazoa, Chordata, Mammalia, Carnivora, Mustelidae. The transcript has 3 exons. The record is from RefSeq and is a predicted model, not a curated record.
GGCGGGUACAGACGCUCCGCGCGCGAGGAAGGAGUGCCCCAAGGCAUGUGCUACAGGGAAAGCUGACCCCAUCGACAGUUCCAGGGGUGAUCCUGAAUUAGUCUAGGCCAUGAAUUCUAGGGCUUGUUCACCAAGUUGUUCUGCUAAGAUUCAUAUGAAAGUUACUUUGCAACUCUGGACAUACACCCUAUGGCAAUGAAGGGGACUGGACCCUGUGCUGAGUGAUGGAAAGAUAACA